CAGUCGCCGCGGGAAUACGGAGGGGGCUAGCGUUGUUCGGAAUUACUGGGCGUAAAGCGCACGUAGGCGGCUUGGUAAGUUAGAGGUGAAAGCCCGGAGCUCAACUCCGGAAUUGCCUUUAAGACUGCCGAGCUAGCAGGUGAGAGAGGUAAGUGGAAUUCCGAGUGUAGAGGUGAAAUGCGUAGAUAUGCGGAGGAACACCGAUGGCGAAGGCAAUCCCCUGGGCCUGUACUGACGCUCAUGCACGAAAGCGUGGGGAGCAAACAGGAUUAGAUACCCCCGUAGUCCCUGUCUCUUAUAC
RNAcentral lists this ribosomal RNA (301 nucleotides) under uncultured bacterium. RNAcentral describes it as "partial 16S ribosomal RNA". It matches the Rfam family "Bacterial small subunit ribosomal RNA", at positions 509 to 807 of the family's 1533-position model. The record is from RNAcentral.